This 275-nucleotide ribosomal RNA is filed under the name uncultured bacterium. Its description in RNAcentral is "partial 16S ribosomal RNA". It matches the Rfam family "Bacterial small subunit ribosomal RNA", at positions 338 to 605 of the family's 1533-position model. The record is from RNAcentral.
CCUACGGGAGGCAGCAGUGGGGAAUUUUGGACAAUGGGCGCAAGCCUGAUCCAGCCAUGCCGCGUGCGGGAAGAAGGCCUUCGGGUUGUAAACCGCUUUUGUCAGGGAAGAAAAGCUCCGGGCUAAUACCUCGGGGUCAUGACGGUACCUGAAGAAUAAGCACCGGCUAACUACGUGCCAGCAGCCGCGGUAAUACGUAGGGUGCAAGCGUUAAUCGGAAUUACUGGGCGUAAAGCGUGCGCAGGCGGUUGUGCAAGACAGAUGUGAAAUCCCCG